UCCCAUGUGGUCUAGUGGCUAGGAUACCAGGCUUUCAUCCAGGAGGCCCGGGUUCAAUUCCCGGCAUGGGAA
RNAcentral lists this transfer RNA (72 nucleotides) under Penaeus chinensis. RNAcentral's name for it is "tRNA-Glu". It matches the Rfam family "tRNA". Rfam says of the family: Transfer RNA (tRNA) molecules are approximately 80 nucleotides in length. Their secondary structure includes four short double-helical elements and three loops (D, anti-codon, and T loops). The record is from RNAcentral. Lineage: Eukaryota; Metazoa; Arthropoda; Malacostraca; Decapoda; Penaeidae.